UGGACUAGCCUCUAGUGAAUCUGUUGUUCCGCCAGGGGCAUUGCAGAGUAGCUACGCUGGGAAUAGAUAAGCGCUGAAAGCAUCUAAGUGCGAAACUAGCCACGAGAUGAGAAUUCCAUAUAGGACCGUAGCAGACUACUACGUUGAUAGGCUACAGAUGUAAAGCUGGCGACAGCACAGUCGAGUAGUACUAAUCAUCCGAAGCUUUCAAA
This 212-nucleotide ribosomal RNA is filed under the name Pedobacter soli. RNAcentral's name for it is "23S rRNA. Bacterial LSU". It matches the Rfam family "Bacterial large subunit ribosomal RNA", at positions 2698 to 2925 of the family's 2925-position model. Lineage: Bacteria; Pseudomonadati; Bacteroidota; Sphingobacteriia; Sphingobacteriales; Sphingobacteriaceae. The record is from RNAcentral.